AAUAGAUACCCGGGUAGUCCACGCCGUAAACGAUGAAUACUAGGUGUGGGGGUUGUCAUGACCUCCGUGCCGCCGCUAACGCAUUAAGUAUUCCGCCUGGGGAGUACGGUCGCAAGAUUAAAACUCAAAGGAAUUGACGGGGGCCCGCACAAGCAGCGGAGCAUGUGGUUUAAUUCGAAGCAACGCGAAGAACCUUACCUAGACUUGACAUCUCCUGAAUUACUCUGUAAUAGAGGAAGCCCUUCGGGGCAGGAAGACAGGUGGUGCAUGGUUGUCGUCAGCUCGUGUCGUGAGAUGUUGGGUUAAGUCCCGCAACGAGCGCAACCCUUAUUGUUAGUUGCUACCAUUAAGUUGAGCACUCUAGCGAGACUGCCCGGGUUAACCGGGAGGAAGGUGGGGAUGACGUCAAAUCAUCAUGCCCCUUAUGUCUAGGGCUACACACGUGCUACAAUGGCUGGUACAGAGAGAUGCUAAACCGUGAGGUGGAGCCAAACUUUAAAACCAGUCUCAGUUCGGAUUGUAGGCUGAAACUCGCCUAC
RNAcentral lists this ribosomal RNA (539 nucleotides) under uncultured bacterium. Its description in RNAcentral is "bacterial SSU rRNA". It matches the Rfam family "Bacterial small subunit ribosomal RNA", at positions 777 to 1319 of the family's 1533-position model. The record is from RNAcentral.